RNAcentral lists this ribosomal RNA (119 nucleotides) under Cucumis melo (muskmelon). The record is from RNAcentral. Lineage: Eukaryota; Viridiplantae; Streptophyta; Magnoliopsida; Cucurbitales; Cucurbitaceae.
GGAUGUGAUCAUACCAGCACAAAUGCAUUGGGUCCCAUCAGAACUCUGCAGUUAAACGUGCUUGGGCAAGAGUAGUACUAAGUUGGGUAACAACUUGAAAAGUCCUCGUGUUGCACCCA